This 256-nucleotide ribosomal RNA is filed under the name uncultured bacterium. RNAcentral's name for it is "partial 16S ribosomal RNA". It matches the Rfam family "Bacterial small subunit ribosomal RNA", at positions 524 to 776 of the family's 1533-position model. The record is from RNAcentral.
UACGUAGGGGGCAAGCGUUACCCGGAUUUACUGGGCGUAAAGCGCGUGUAGGCGGCUGGCCAAGUGUGGUGUGAAAUCCCCCGGCUCAACCGGGGAACUGCAUUGCAAACUGGUCUGGCUAGAGUGCAGGAGAGGGAAGUGGAAGUUCCCGGUGUAGCGGUGAAAUGCGUAGAUAUCGGGAGGAACACCAGUGGCGAAGGCGGCUUCCGUGGCCUGCAACUGACGCUGAGACGCGAAAGCGUGGGGAGCGAACCGG